This 465-nucleotide ribosomal RNA is filed under the name uncultured bacterium. Its description in RNAcentral is "partial 16S ribosomal RNA". It matches the Rfam family "Bacterial small subunit ribosomal RNA", at positions 338 to 795 of the family's 1533-position model. The record is from RNAcentral.
CCUACGGGAUGCAGCAGUAGGGAAUCUUCCACAAUGGGCGAAAGCCUGAUGGAGCAACGCCGCGUGGGUGAAGAAGGUCUUCGGAUCGUAAAACCCUGUUGUUAGAGAAGAAAGUGCGUGAGAGUAACUGUUCACGUUUCGACGGUAUCUAACCAGAAAGCCACGGCUAACUACGUGCCAGCAGCCGCGGUAAUACGUAGGUGGCAAGCGUUAUCCGGAUUUAUUGGGCGUAAAGGGAACGCAGGCGGUCUUUUAAGGCUGAUGUGAAAGCCUUCGGCUUAACCGGAGUAGUGCAUUGGAAACUGGGAGACUUGAGUGCAGAAGAGGAGAGUGGAACUCCAUGUGUAGCGGUGGAAUGCGUAGAUAUUAGGAGGAACACCAGUGGCGAAGGCGGAUUGCUAGACUGUAACUGACACUGAGGCACGAAAGCGUGGGGAGCAAACAGGAUUAGAUACCUUUGUAGUC